Molecule: unclassified non-coding RNA, 347 nt
Filed under: soil metagenome
Description: partial contains 5.8S ribosomal RNA, internal transcribed spacer 2, and large subunit ribosomal RNA
Rfam family: 5.8S ribosomal RNA (bases 1-120)
Source: RNAcentral
GAUGAAGAACGUAGCGAAAUGCGAUAAGUAAUGUGAAUUGCAGAAUUCAGUGAAUCAUCGAGUCUUUGAACGCACAUUGCGCCCCCUGGUAUUCCGGGGGGCAUGCCUGUCCGAGCGUCAUUGCUGCCCUCAAGCACGGCGUGUGUGUUGGGCCGUCGUCCCCCUCCUAGGGGACGGGCCCGAAAGGCAGCGGCGGCACCGCGUCCGGUCCUCGAGCGUAUGGGGCUUCGUCACCCGCUCCGUAGGCCCGGCCGGCGCUUGCCGACGACCAUCAAUCUCUUUCUCCAGGUUGACCUCGGAUCAGGUAGGGAUACCCGCUGAACUUAAGCAUAUCAAUAAGCGGAGGA